Molecule: long non-coding RNA, 516 nt
Organism: Aphis gossypii (cotton aphid)
Lineage: Eukaryota; Metazoa; Arthropoda; Insecta; Hemiptera; Aphididae
Exons: 2
Source: RefSeq, a predicted model, not a curated record
CGUUACCUCCGGUAUCGACGGCUUUCACCAUUACGACUACAAGUUCACAACCGUACGUACUAUCAGUUGUUGCGUACAUUACAAUCUAUUGAGAUAUAUACGCUUCAAACGUUUUAAUAUAAUAUUCGAUAUUAUAUUUUUUCUUCGACAUCCACCAAAAUUACGGAUGUCAUGAGCGACCGCAAGAAAUACGAUUUCGAUCCAGACAAGGACAUUUUUAUAAAUGGUUAUGAAUGCGGGCUCAGACCAGAGCGAAUACUUGCGAUUGUUCAAAUGCGAGGAUUAAGUUAUUGUUUAAUGAAGUGGAAUGAAACCGAGGACGCAUCAUAUGUCACAUUCAAUUUUGCAAGAGAUAAAUUUCCAGUGACCGUGAUAAUGUUUUAUGAACAACUUGUUCGUCAGGAUUUAAGAGAAUAAAUAGUAAAUAUAAUUUCAUUUUUUAUUUCGUGGAGCCAUUAAUAUGCUAAAAAAAAAUCCAUGUUUUGAAAAAAUAAAGUUUGAUUUCAAAAACAAAAA